This 926-nucleotide long non-coding RNA is filed under the name Setaria italica (foxtail millet). RNAcentral's name for it is "long non-coding RNA (SITA_LNC004634)". The record is from RNAcentral. Lineage: Eukaryota; Viridiplantae; Streptophyta; Magnoliopsida; Poales; Poaceae.
UCCGCCGCCCUCCUCCCGCCUCCAACACCAUCCUCGUACGGCACGACCGCCCCCUCGCCGACGUGCUCGUGCGGCAUGACCGCCCCCUCGCCGACCUGGUCUGCGCCGGCGGCGGCGGACUCGACAGGCGACAUGGGGCACCCAAGCUGAGGCCCAAGCCGAGGUAGGGUCGCUUACCUAGAAGCAGUCCAAGUCCAGAUGAGCGGAUCUCCGCUCCGCCCCCAGUCCAGCGAGUAGAACGGAGGAGAACGACGACCCACCAGGUAUAAUCCCACCUCGCCAAUUUACAACCAAAAUUGCGGGCUUAAAACCUGAGAUGCGGAUGCGGGUAAUGUCACCCGAGGAACGGAAGAGUGAGGGAUUGGACUAAGUGAUGGAUUCGGCAAAAUCUUUGGGGGAAGCUGUUGUCGCGGCGCAGAAGGUUGUGGAGAUGUGCUCGAGGCGGAGGUGGAUGACGGAGGCGCGGAAGGGAGGGUGGCGGCGACAGCUCAAGUUUUCGGUAAUCAACCCGCAAUCCUAUUCCCUUCCGCGGAGACGGGCGGUGGCCGCACCGACCGCGGAGACGGGCGCGGGCAUCCAGACGGUUGCGUCUUCCGUGGAGACGGGCGGUGGCCGCACCGACUGCGGAGACAAGCGGGGGGGGGGGCAUCUAGACGGCCGCGUCCUGCUUGACGGCGUGGACGGCGGUAGUGAGCGGGCGGCGGAAGCGGCGGCGUAGGAUGGGGAGCCCCCGCAUCGGGAGCGGGGAGGCCGUGGAGCAGGAGUGGCGCCGACUGCUCCUCGUCAAGAUUCUCGUGACGGAUUUGUUUCCUCCCCUUUUCAGAGGAUGAGGCCGAGACGCGAAGCACUUUGCAGGCCUUGCGUGGCGCGGACACGCGUCUCCGGCUAUUCCAGAUGGACCUUUCUGGAUCCUGCUUCCGGCCGGC